This is a non-coding RNA of Beta vulgaris subsp. vulgaris (sugar beet), 158 nucleotides long. The record is from Rfam. Lineage: Eukaryota; Viridiplantae; Streptophyta; Magnoliopsida; Caryophyllales; Amaranthaceae.
GUUGCUUCUAAUGGUGAACUCUCUCUGUUCAAACGAAAGACGUUCUAGUUUCCGAAGCAUAAAUGAAAAUCUAAAUUGUCAGUCUUAAACAGCUCGAUGAAUGGAUUAAUCAUUUAAUCUUCACACUUUCAUCGCGUUACCUGUCUGCUGGCACAUUU